AUUGAACGCUGGCGGCAUGCCUUACACAUGCAAGUCGAACGGCAGCAUGGGUGCUUGCACCUGAUGGCGAGUGGCGAACGGGUGAGUAAUGCAUCGGAACGUACCCGGAAGUGGGGGAUAACGUAGCGAAAGUUACGCUAAUACCGCAUAUUCUGUGAGCAGGAAAGAGGGGGAUCGCAAGACCUCUCGCUUUCGGAGCGGCCGAUGUCGGAUUAGCUAGUUGGCGGGGUAAAGGCCCACCAAGGCAACGAUCCGUAACGGGUCUGAGAGGAUGAUCCGCCACACUGGGACUGAGACACGGCCCAGACUCCUACGGGAGGCAGCAGUGGGGAAUUUUGGACAAUGGGCGCAAGCCUGAUCCAGCCAUGCCGCGUGAGUGAAGAAGGCCUUCGGGUUGUAAAGCUCUUUCGGCCGGGAAGAAAUCGCACAGGUUAAUACCCUGUGUGGAUGACGGUACCGGAAUAAGAAGCACCGGCUAACUACGUGCCAGCAGCCGCCGUAA
Molecule: ribosomal RNA, 502 nt
Filed under: uncultured bacterium
Lineage: Bacteria
Description: partial 16S ribosomal RNA
Rfam family: Bacterial small subunit ribosomal RNA
Source: RNAcentral